CCAAGAGGAAGGGCAGUUGCGCCGAAGGGGCAGCAGCCAAGGAAGAGCCCAAGAGGGGAUCGGUGCAGUUUUCAGCUAACUCCGCUCCUGCAAAAGGGGAAAUGAAGCCAAAAAGGCAUCAGGAAAGGAUACAUCUUCAGACAAAAAAAGUCUAAACAAAAGGGGAAAAGGGAACAGGGGAGCAAGGAGAAAACAGGCCAAGUGGUUAACCGAGAAACUAAAGAACAUUUAUCUGCAGAAAAUGGAGAAACAAAAAUCGGGGAGAGCCCAGCCUCUGAUGAAGCCAGAGAGAAAGAAGCCAAGUCUG
RNAcentral lists this long non-coding RNA (307 nucleotides) under Homo sapiens (human). RNAcentral's name for it is "non-protein coding lnc-GALNT18-4:1". The record is from RNAcentral. Lineage: Eukaryota; Metazoa; Chordata; Mammalia; Primates; Hominidae.